GCUCCGUUGGUGAGCCAGCGGAGGGAUCAUUACAGAGUUGUAAAACUCCCAAACCAUUGUGAACGUUACCUAUCCCGUUGCUUCGGCGGGCGGCCCGGGCCCCGCGCCCGGCGCCCCCCGGCCCCCCGUGGGCGCCCGCCGGAGGUAAACCAAACCCUUGAAUUGCAUGGCCUCUCUGAGUCUUCUGUACUGAAUAAGUCAAAACUUUCAACAACGGAUCUCUUGGUUCUG
RNAcentral lists this unclassified non-coding RNA (231 nucleotides) under plant metagenome. RNAcentral's name for it is "partial contains small subunit ribosomal RNA, internal transcribed spacer 1, and 5.8S ribosomal RNA". The record is from RNAcentral.